GACUGCUUGGCGCAAUGGUAGCGCGUCGACCUCCUAUCCCAUCUGUGGGGUUUGAAAGUCGAAGGUUGCGGGUUCGAGUCCCGUGGUGGUCG
Molecule: non-coding RNA, 92 nt
Organism: Microdochium trichocladiopsis
Lineage: Eukaryota; Fungi; Ascomycota; Sordariomycetes; Xylariales; Microdochiaceae
Source: the annotation of a RefSeq genome assembly